GAGAGAGAGACAUACGUCACAUAGGGUCCGGAGAAGUAGCCUCUAAACAAAAUGUCUGUCUCAAUUCCAUACAAAACCAAAUGAGUUCCAAGGGCGGAUAUGAACAUGUAUCGCCGGUCAAUAUUCAUCUGAAUGUAGUAGAACUCCCUGCAAGAAACAGCACAUAGAAUGCCACCAUCUUGUCUCAUCUUCACCCUGUACAUAAGACAUUCAUCUGUGAUCUCAUCUCCUGACAACAGAAGGGUCUGCAAUUACCUAAGGCCUAAGGAAGUGUUACAAUGCAUGGGACAAUUUCAUUUGGUGCAAGGAAAACUUUCAUUGGUUUAAACAAAAUUGUAGUAUGAAAGGAGACUUUUCAUUUGUUUGGAAACACCCACUGCAAGAGAGAUUUUGAUUGGAUGGAAAUUGUAAGACAAUUUUGUUUUGUAAGGGUGCGUUCGAUUGGUUAGAUAUUUGUAUAUGUAUGUUAUCCAGUAGUCUUUUCUCUGUUAUAUGUUGGUUUUUUGUUUUUUAAUUUAUUCUGUAUUCUCAUGAUGUAGUCGGAUCUAGAUACUUCAAUUGUAGCCAUUUAUUUAACAUUGAUAUGUCAAAGCUGUCAAGCAGUAGUGGAUGAUUUUGUUUGUGUAAUUCCUGAAAAUACGAAACACAGUAGCAGUAGUAUUAGAUACACAGGACAUCCAUUUGAACAAAAUGACUGAACUGCUGCUGAAGCUUAUGGGAUGAUGGGGGUGGGGGUGUCAGAUAUUACAAAGAAUGAUGGAGAGGGGGAUGUUAUCAGGGAUUAUAUUGGGAGGGGGAUAUUGACAGGGUUGAUGUUGAAGGGGGGUGGUAGAGAUGAUGGUGAGGAUGGGUGGUGGUAGAUAUUACAAAGGAUAAUGGAGGGGGGGAUAUCAGGGAUGAUGUAGGAGGGUGGGGGUGGUAUAUAUUGACAAAUGACAUGUUUUUGGGGGUGGGGUGUAGUUAUCGACAUGGAUGGGGUGAAUUAUUGCCGGGAAGGGAGAAAGAGGAGCUGUGGUUGAACUUUGUUUCCCACAGUUUAGUGUCCGCUGUGACUGGUGUCAUUAAGUGGCAUAGCAAGUCAAUGUGAAGCAGUGUCUGUAUAUCUAUGUUAUGUUUGCUAUUUAUUGAUGAUCUGAUGUUUUUUUUUAAAGACUGUUUAAUGGUGGCCUACAGCUUUCCUUUUCCUUACACUAAUUUUUCCUAAGAUAGCAAGGGUUUAGGAGGAGUGAAGGGGAGGGGGGGGGGGGGGAUUUCAGUGAUGACUGUUACUUUACAUUUGACCGAGGAAUUUCUUUGUAUAGAGUAUCUGUCUACUUUCACUAUUGAUGUGGAUCUUGUUUAUUCUUUUAUUCUAGUCUCGUUGUCUGGGGUAAUUAUUCUAGUCUCGUUGUCUGGAGUAAUUAUUCUAGUCUCGUUGUCUGGGGUAAUUAUUUUAGUCUCGUUGUCUGGAGUAAUUAUUCUAGUCUCGUUGUCUGGGGUAAUUAUUCUAGUCUCGUUGUCUGGGGUAAUUAUUCUAGUCUCGUCUGGGAUAAUUAUUCUAGUCUCGUUGUCUGGAGUAAUUAUUCUAGUCUCGUUGUCUGGGGUAAUUUGCGUAUUGUUUGCUACAGUGUUGAUUAUGUAGCAUCAUGUGACACAUGACCGCAUAUUCUCUCGACCAUACAAUAUUUUUCGAUCAAACUAGUAUUCGUUUACUCUCCUAGAUAAAUCGGUAAAGCCAAAAAUCUGUAUGUUAUGCUGCAUGUGUAUUUUAAAUGAAUUCAAUUAAUUUCGCUGUAAACAAUUUUGAUGCAAAUGCAUGAGUUUAUUGAAUUUGCAAGAAAUUAUUUUUUUGUGAAAUAAAAAUUUCUCCGCUCGUCUUCUAGGAAUUAAGUUCAUAUUCUAAAGUCACAAGAAAGUAAAUCCAAAGUGUUUAAACUUAAUUUUGAUACGCCUGAAUAAAUCUGACACAUUUAAACUUAAUUUUAAUGCUCAUGAAUAAACCCAAAAUAUUUAAGCUCAGUUUUGAUAUGCAUGAAUAAAUCUAAAGUAUUUGAAUUUAAUUUUGAUACACAUGAGUGAUUCCAAAGUAUAAUAACUUUUUUUUUUAAUUAGAAUCCUGAAUACACAAUAUAAUCAUAUUUAUUCUUCAUAAAUGCGGAUGUUUUAGCUGCUCAAGCGAUAUUUGAAAUGUUUUUAUAUAUAUACGUUUUAAUCUAUAUGAACAUAUUCUUUUUAAUAGUUGUUGCUACCAUGUAAAUGUUUAACUUCAACAUGAAUGGAGAAAAAUUUGACUUCAACACAAUUUUCAACCUAAUCACAAGCAAUUUUGUAUUAUACUUAAUAGGACAUUUGAACCCAAGCAGUGUGAUUGCCUGUGACCCCUAUGAACUUUAUGGUUAUUGUGUUAUUUAUUGGGGGUGGGGUGUGUGGAGGGGGAUCUGUGUGUUGAGCUUUUGACUUAAUCCCGGCUAUUAACAGUGCUUCCUAUCUAGUCAGGGACACCUGUCUGGGGUAGGUUAUCGAGUCCUACAAAGUAUGUACCAGAUUUACAGAGUUCUGUACAUCAUUAAGUAUGUACCAGAUUUACAGAGUUCUGUACAUCAUUAAGUAUGUACCAGAUUUACAGAGUUCUGUACAUCAUUGUAUGUACCAGAUUUACAGAGCUCUGUACAUCAUUGCUUAUAUGCAUGUCCUAAUGUCAGUUUCUCCUCCCUGUUUAAAUUCUCUGGUUAUUUUACAUCUAUAAUUCAUGUAUCAAGUACAUAUUUAUCAUUGAUUGAGCAAUAGCUGUUCCUUAUUUUAAAUUGUCUUUUAGAUAUUUGAAAUUUAUGUAUUUGUAACUUUGAUUUUGAUUGGCUGGUGAACUCCAUGUAUUUGUAACCGUGAUUUUGAUUGGCUGGUGAACUCCAUGUAUUUGUAACCUUGAUUUUGAUUGGCUGGUGAACUCCAUGCAUUUGUAGCCCUGAUUCUGAUUGGCUUCUAAGUUUAAGUCUAUCAGUUUCCACUCCCUUUCAUUUGUAAUGUAACAUUUUAGAUUAAAUCAUGCCUGGCACGAAGCCUAUGUAUAAUGACCUCCAUUGUCCAUGCAGUAGUGUAUGCAUAUAUCUUGAUAUGAUUCAAAUCCACAUUCAGUUAUAUUUACCAAAGUAUGAUUUAUUUUGUCCUAGUUACAAAACAACUACUUGAACUGGUCAAUGGUGUGAAUUGAAAUGCCAGCUUGCUUGUUCAUUAAUAAUCACCAGAAUUUUGUCAAAUAUUUUCUUUUUCCAGUAAAGGGCUAUACAGGGAGAUGUUUAUCUGAUAAAUAUUGAAAUAGAAAUCCAUCUUCUUCUUUGAAGAAUUUUAUUUUUGAGUUUAAUUUCCCAAUAAUACAAACAGAUUAUAGACUGUGAUGUCACUCUUGUUGCUAACCAGUGUUUUAAUUCCAGCUCACUCGUUAACUUAUAUAUUUAUCGGAAUAUAUACUUGUAGAUAUACAAUGCUAGUCAAUUCACAAGCAACUCAAGAGUAGUGUGAUAUUGUACUGUGUACAGAGUAAUUUUUCAUGCAUGAUUAAUUCCACGGUUUUACAUGAUAGCUCGUACACGCACGAGUACAUGUAGUUAUAUCCACAUUAUUGAUAUGUUUCACGAAAAAAUACAGAUUCCAAAGAAUAUUUAGAUAUGGGAAAAAGAUCUUUUUACGUACUCCAUAUGAAUUACAUUCAUGCCUUAAUCCCCAUGUUUACAUUAACCUGUCACUUGUUAAACUGUGAAAAGGGGGCGUUAUCCUGACAAUGUGGGUAGGUUCGUGCUCUAACAUUAUUGUAUAAAUACACGAUUAUUAGACCAAGAGGCGUGGAAGUUAAAAGGUGGAGGAAAUAUUUACUAUCAACAAGGGUUUUUGUUUUAAGAUGAAAUGGCUGGGUUUUCUUGUAAUUCAGUUUUGUAAAUAAAAUCCCAUAUGUUCAUCAGGCUCUCAGAUAAUGAAAAGAGCCUGUGUUAUUUAUAUCUGAGUUUUUAAUCUCAGUUUCAUUUGAUAAAAGAUCAUAUAAAGAAACUUUAAGCCUGAGAUAAAGGUCAAUAUCUUGUGGGUUUUUUUAAACUUUGUUUAAUUUAUCAAUGUUAAUAAGUAAAGGGUAGGGUUUGUGGAGUUAAGGAAACUAAUCAUUUUGACCAUGUUUUAUACCGUAUGUAUACCCGUUUUGUACUUUUGAGAUUAUUUUUAUAAUAUGUACAUAAUGGUGACUAAUCGAUUUUACGCAAAGAAAUGCCAAAUGAAUAUUUUUCCAGCAGAAGUUUGAUUAUCGUUUUUAUUUCUAGUUACUGUUUGACGAGUAUUCAAUGUAAAUGGUAUCGAUUAUCAAAAUUUGAAAGUGAAGAGUUUCUUAAAUAAAAUUUCAAGUGUGUUUAGAGAUGAGUGAUUUUUUCAAGUAAUAUUUUGUCUUUAUGCCAAAAAACCGUUGAGAAUUAAUUGAAUAUAGGACUGUUAGUCCUUGUUGUUUGAAAACAGAAACUGUUAUGUUCAUUCGCUAGUAGCAAACUUUUGACAGCAGACUGUAGGCGUCUUUUGGCAGUGUCAUUUGAGAUGACCUGUAGCAUGCUUGUUAUCAUAUAUAUAGAUUACAUAAUGUCUAUAAAUAGUUACAAUGUAUAUUUUACUUGUUAUUAACACUAAGAAGUUACCAUGUUUAUAUUUGUCAAAUGAAAAAGUCUUUCCUAGAGUGUGUAAUGACCUAAUUCAGAUGAUAAUAAAUGUAUUUUAUAAGAAUAACUAA
Ostrea edulis (European flat oyster) is the source of this 4735-nucleotide long non-coding RNA. RefSeq lists it as uncharacterized. The record is from RefSeq and is a predicted model, not a curated record. NCBI's taxonomy places the organism in Eukaryota, Metazoa, Mollusca, Bivalvia, Ostreida, Ostreidae. The transcript has 3 exons.